GACGAACCGUGCAAACGUUGUUCGGAAUCACUGGGCUUAAAGGGCGCGUAGGCGGCUUGCCAAGUCAGGGGUGAAAUCUUUCGGCUUAACCGGAAAAGUGCCUCUGAUACUGGCGAGCUAGAGGGAGGUAGGGGCAUGUGGAACUUCCGGUGGAGCGGUGAAAUGCGUUGAUAUCGGAAGGAACGCCGGUGGCGAAAGCGACGUGCUGGAUCUCUUCUGACGCUGAGGCGCGAAAGCUAGGGGAGCGAACGGG
RNAcentral lists this ribosomal RNA (253 nucleotides) under uncultured bacterium. RNAcentral's name for it is "partial 16S ribosomal RNA". It matches the Rfam family "Bacterial small subunit ribosomal RNA", at positions 524 to 776 of the family's 1533-position model. RNAcentral also lists the same sequence under 1 other name. The record is from RNAcentral.